This 305-nucleotide ribosomal RNA is filed under the name uncultured bacterium. RNAcentral's name for it is "bacterial SSU rRNA". It matches the Rfam family "Bacterial small subunit ribosomal RNA", at positions 338 to 640 of the family's 1533-position model. The record is from RNAcentral.
CCUACGGGAGGCAGCAGUGAGGAAUAUUGGUCAAUGGCCGAGAGGCUGAACCAGCCAAGUCGCGUGAGGGAAGACGGCCCUACGGGUUGUAAACCUCUUUUGUCGGGGAGCAAAGCGAACCACGUGUGGUUCAUUGAGAGUACCCGAAGAAAAAGCAUCGGCUAACUCCGUGCCAGCAGCUGCGGUAAUACGGAGGAUGCGAGCGUUAUCCGGAUUUAUUGGGUUUAAAGGGAGCGUAGAUGGGUUGUUAAGUCAGUUGUGAAAGUUUGCGGCUCAACCGUAAAAUUGCAAUUGAUACUGGAAGG